GCCUCAGUGUUGCAGUGGUAGAGCACUCCUCUCUUGAUGGAAUGAAUAGCGCGUUCAAUUCCCACCUGAGGCA
Non-coding RNA from Parelaphostrongylus tenuis, 73 nucleotides. Lineage: Eukaryota; Metazoa; Nematoda; Chromadorea; Rhabditida; Metastrongylidae. The record is from the annotation of a GenBank genome assembly.